AACUCCCAAAGAUGAGUAUCCUAUGCCCAUUGCUGAAACUAUGAUAGACGCUGCUGCAGGUGCUCUAGGCGUCUAUGAAUAGGUGAUGAUGCCAUUUGGAUUAAAAAAUGCAGGUGCUACUUAUCAGAGGGAAAUGAAUUUAAUAUUCCAUGAUUUAAUUGCAGGAGAAUUUCUGGGGUUUGUCAUACAUUAGAAAGGAAUUGAAGUUAAUCGAAAUAAGACGAAAGCUAUCAUGGAGACUAAACCUCCAUCGAACAAGAAAGAACUUCAAUCUCUCUUAGGUAAAGUAAACUUUCUGAGAAGAUUCAUAUCGAACUUGUCUGGUAAAACUAAAAUAUUUUCUCCUCUUCUACGUUUAAAAAAGGAGCAGGAAUUUCGAUGGAAUGAGGAGCACCAUAA
Non-coding RNA from Cajanus cajan (pigeon pea), 399 nucleotides. NCBI's taxonomy places the organism in Eukaryota, Viridiplantae, Streptophyta, Magnoliopsida, Fabales, Fabaceae. The record is from RefSeq and is a predicted model, not a curated record.